Molecule: non-coding RNA, 106 nt
Organism: Callorhinus ursinus (northern fur seal)
Lineage: Eukaryota; Metazoa; Chordata; Mammalia; Carnivora; Otariidae
Source: RefSeq, a predicted model, not a curated record
GGCAUCAGGGAAAUCCAAAUCAAAACCUCAAUGAGAUACCACCUCACACCAGUCAGAAUGGCUAAAAUUAACGAAUCAGGAAACGACAGCUGGGGGUGGGGAUGGG